RNAcentral lists this ribosomal RNA (466 nucleotides) under uncultured bacterium. RNAcentral describes it as "partial 16S ribosomal RNA". It matches the Rfam family "Bacterial small subunit ribosomal RNA", at positions 28 to 507 of the family's 1533-position model. The record is from RNAcentral.
GACGAACGCUGGCGGCGUGCUUAACACAUGCAAGUCGAACGGAAAGGCCCUGCUUGCAGGGUACUCGAGUGGCGAACGGGUGAGUAACACGUGGGUGAUCUGCCCUGCACUUCGGGAUAAGCUUGGGAAACUGGGUCUAAUACCGGAUAGGAACCAUCUUGAGUGUGGUGGUUGGAAAGUUUUUUCGGUGUAGGAUGAGCUCGCGGCCUAUCAGCUUGUUGGUGGGGUAAUGGCCUACCCAGGCGGCGACGGGUAGCCGGCCUGAGAGGGUGUACGGCCACAUUGGGCCUGUGAUACAGCCCAGACUCCUGCGUGUGGCAGCAGUGGGGAAUAUUUCACAAUGGGCGCCAGCCUGAGGCAGCGACGCCGCGUGGUGGAUGAAGGCCUUCGGGUUGUAAACUCCUUUCGCUAGGGACGAAGCUUUGUUGUGACGGUACCUAGAUAAGAAGCACCGGCUAACUACGUG